This 463-nucleotide ribosomal RNA is filed under the name uncultured bacterium. RNAcentral describes it as "bacterial SSU rRNA". It matches the Rfam family "Bacterial small subunit ribosomal RNA", at positions 29 to 506 of the family's 1533-position model. The record is from RNAcentral.
ACGAACGCUGGCGGCGUGCCUAACACAUGCAAGUCGAACGGAGAUAUGAUUUCGGUUGUAUCUUAGUGGCGAACGGGUGAGUAACGCGUGAGCAACCUGACUCUUAGAGGGGGAUAACACUCGGAAACGGGUGCUAAUACCGCAUAAGACCACGACAUGGCAUCAUGACGAGGUCAAAGGAGCAAUCCGCUGAGAGAGGGGCUCGCGUCCCAUUAGAUAGAUGGCGGGGUAACGGCCCACCAUGUCAGCGAUGGGUAGCCGAGCUGAGAGGCUGAUCGGCCACACUGGAACUGAGACACGGUCCAGACUCCUACGGGAGGCAGCAGUGGGGAAUAUUGGGCAAUGGGCGCAAGCCUGACCCAGCAACGCCGCGUGAGGGAAGAAGGCUUUCGGGUUGUAAACCUCUGUCCUUGGUGACGAAAAAAAUGACGGUAGCCAAGGAGGAAGCCCCGGCUAACUACGU